This 1354-nucleotide ribosomal RNA is filed under the name metagenome. Its description in RNAcentral is "bacterial LSU rRNA". It matches the Rfam family "Bacterial large subunit ribosomal RNA", at positions 1564 to 2925 of the family's 2925-position model. The record is from RNAcentral.
UGAAUACGAGAUGCUACGGCGUUGAAGCAGUGUAUGUCAGACUUCCAAGAAAAGCUCGCAAUGUCAUAAAUAAAGAAUGCCUGUACCAUAACCGACACAGGUGGGUAGGUAGAGUAUACUAAGGGGCGCGAGAUAACUCUCUCUAAGGAACUCGGCAAAAUAACUCCGUAACUUCGGGAGAAGGAGUGCCUUCUUUAAGAAGGUUGCAAUAACAAGAUCCAAGCAACUGUUUAUCAAAAACACAGGUCUCUGCGAAGUCGUAAGACGACGUAUAGGGUCUGACGCCUGCCCGGUGCCGGAAGGUUAAGGGGAGUUGUUAGGGGUAACCCGAAGCGGCGAACCGAAGCCCCGGUAAACGGCGGCCGUAACAAUAACGGUCCUAAGGUAGCGAAAUUCCUUGUCGGGUAAGUUCCGACCUGCACGAAUGGCGUAACGACAUCCCCGCUGUCUCGGCCAGAGACUCAGCGAAAUUGAAAUGGGGGUGAAGAUGCCCUCUACCCGCGGCAAGACGGAAAGACCCCGUGAACCUUUACUACAGCUUGGCAGUGAAUUUCGGGCCUAUUUGUGUAGGAUAGGUGGGAGGCGUUGAAUCCGGGACGCUAGUUUCGGUGGAGCCAACCUUGAAAUACCACCCUGAUAUGUCUGGGAUUCUAACCUAGGCCCGUGAACCGGGUCGGGGACACUGCCUGGUGGGUAGUUUGACUGGGGCGGUCGCCUCCUAAAAUGUAACGGAGGCUCGCAAUGGUUCCCUCAGGCUGAUUGGAAACCAGCCGUAGAGUGUAAAGGCACAAGGGAGCUUGACUGUGAGACUGACAAGUCGAACAGGUGGGAAACCAGGUCUUAGUGAUCCGGCGGUUCCGAAUGGAAGGGCCGUCGCUCAAAGGAUAAAAGGUACUCCGGGGAUAACAGGCUGAUCGCGCCUGAGAGUCACAUCGGCGGCGCGGUUUGGCACCUCGAUGUCGGCUCAUCGCAUUCUGGGGCUGAAGCCGGUCCCAAGGGUUUGGCUGUUCGCCAAUUAAAGCGGUACGCGAGCUGGGUUUAGAACGUCGUGAGACAGUUCGGUCCCUAUCUGCCGUGGGCGUAGGAUGCUUGAGAGGAUCUGCCCUUAGUACGAGAGGACCAGGGUGGACGGACCCCUAGUGUUCCGGUUGUCGCGCCAGCGGCACCGCCGGGUAGCUAUGUUCGGAACGGAUAACCGCUGAAAGCAUCUAAGCGGGAAGCCGGCCUCAAUAUUAUGCAUCCCUGAGCGUGAGCUCCUAAAGGCCCCUUGUAGACGACGAGGUUGAUAGACUGGGUGUGGAAGCAUAGCAAUAUGUGGAGCUAACCAGCACUAAUAGGCCGUGAGGCUUGACCG